Non-coding RNA from Pelobates cultripes (western spadefoot toad), 382 nucleotides. The record is from the annotation of a GenBank genome assembly. Lineage: Eukaryota; Metazoa; Chordata; Amphibia; Anura; Pelobatidae.
UAUAAUAAACUGGUAUUUAGGGUGUAUAUUGUCCAGUAUCCAUGCUUAGUAUUGGAAGAUCAUAUGAUAAACAGGUAUUUAGGGUGUAUAUUGUCCAGAGUCCAUGCUUAGUAUUGGAAGAUCUUAUGAUAAACAGGUAUUUAGGGUGUAUAUUGUCCGGAGUACAUGCUUAGUAUUAGAAGAUCUUAUGAUAAACAAAUAUUUAGGGUGUAUAAUGUCCAGAGUCCAUGCUUAGGAUUGGAAGAUCUUAUGAUAAACAGGUAUUUAGGGUGUAUAUUGUCCGGAGUCCUUGAAGAUCAUAUGAUAAACAGUUAUUUAGGGUGUAUGUUGUCCGGAGUCCAUGCUUAAUAUUUGAAGAUCUUAUGAUAAACCGGUAUUUAGG